RNAcentral lists this ribosomal RNA (447 nucleotides) under uncultured bacterium. RNAcentral's name for it is "partial 16S ribosomal RNA". It matches the Rfam family "Bacterial small subunit ribosomal RNA", at positions 330 to 792 of the family's 1533-position model. The record is from RNAcentral.
CCCAGACUCCUACGGGAGGCAGCAGUGGGGAAUAUUGGGCAAUGGGCGCAAGCCUGACCCAGCAACGCCGCGUGAAGGAAGAAGGCUUUCGGGUUGUAAACUUCUUUUGUCAGGGAAGAGUAGAAGACGGUACCUGACGAAUAAGCCACGGCUAACUACGUGCCAGCAGCCGCGGUAAUACGUAGGUGGCAAGCGUUGUCCGGAUUUACUGGGUGUAAAGGGCGUGUAGCCGGGUUGACAAGUCAGAUGUGAAAUCCUGCGGCUUAACCGCAGAACUGCAUUUGAAACUGUUGAUCCUGAGUACUGGAGAGGCAGACGGAAUUCCUAGUGUAGCGGUGAAAUGCGUAGAUAUUAGGAGGAACACCAGUGGCGAAGGCGGCUUGCUGGACAGAGACUGACGUUGAGGCUCGAAAGCGUGGGGAGCAGACAGGAUUAGAUACCCCAGUA